AGUGAACGCUGGCGGUAGGCCUAACACAUGCAAGUCGAACGGCAGCACAGUAAGAGCUUGCUCUUACGGGUGGCGAGUGGCGGAUGGGUGAGGAAUACAUCGGAAUCUACUUUUUCGUGGGGGAUAACGUAGGGAAACUUACGCUAAUACCGCAUACGACCUACGGGUGAAAGCAGGGGAGCUUCGGACCUUGCGCGAUUGAAUGAGCCGAUGUCGGAUUAGCUAGUUGGCGGGGUAAAGGCCCACCAAGGCGACGAUCCGUAGCUGGUCUGGGGGAAUGAUCAGCCAAACGGGAACUGAGACACGGUCCAGCGUCCUACGGGGGGCAGCAGUGGGAAAUAUUGGCAAAUGGGGGCAAGCCUGCUCCAGCCAUACCGCGUGGGUGAAGAAGGCCUUCGGGUUGUAAAGCCCUUUUGUUGGGAAAGAAAAGCAGCAGGUGAAUACCCCGCUGUUCUGGCGGUACCCAAAGAAUAAGCACCGGCUAAUUUCGU
RNAcentral lists this ribosomal RNA (491 nucleotides) under uncultured bacterium. Its description in RNAcentral is "partial 16S ribosomal RNA". It matches the Rfam family "Bacterial small subunit ribosomal RNA", at positions 29 to 506 of the family's 1533-position model. The record is from RNAcentral.